RNAcentral lists this non-coding RNA (28 nucleotides) under Mus musculus (house mouse). Lineage: Eukaryota; Metazoa; Chordata; Mammalia; Rodentia; Muridae. The record is from RNAcentral.
UACAGAAGGAUGUGUAAGGCAUCAGGAA